UAUCAUUUCAUUUAUAUUACAGAGAGCUUAUCAGGUGGGGAAGCCCCAGGCCAUUUUACCACAAUAAGAACCUCUUCUUCUAAAAUAGAAAAGCAGAACAAGCACAUACAGUCAUGUUUUUACCCAGUAGUAAAAGUGAUCACACGCACCACACCUGAAGAAGAGCAGGAACCUGGGCAGAG
Molecule: long non-coding RNA, 182 nt
Organism: Alligator mississippiensis (American alligator)
Lineage: Eukaryota; Metazoa; Chordata; Crocodylia; Alligatoridae
Exons: 3
Source: RefSeq, a predicted model, not a curated record